CUCACUCUUGACGUUUUUAAGUCAAGAUUUUUGAAACACAGGAGAGAUGUGUUUUUUCUUGUUGUGAUUUGGAUGAUAUUAGCAUAAUUAUCCAAGGUACACUGCACAGAACAUGCAUGCGAGAAUUUUGAAGGAAAAAAAGGAAAUAAUCUAAAUUCACAUCCUGACAAAAAAAAAAAAACAACUAUCUACCUCGAGAAACCUUCAAAGAUGAAAUGCAUGUCAGUUUUAUCAUCAGCUGUCAGAGAAGACGGAAAUGUUUUUCGGGAGAGGGCGAAUUGAAGUAAUGUGAAUCUUCUACAUAUAUGUAGAGAGAGAAAAGCAUCUAUAUUUUGUAUGUAUGUACACAUUCAUAUAAGAACUACUAGCAAAAAAGGCUUCUACGUAGAGAUGAUAAAGAAUAGAAAGGAAAAAUUGCUCAAGGCAAUGUAAUGGCACCAGGUGCUGUUGAUUCCAUGCGAAGGAAUCCCGGAAGAUCACUUACGUACAUUAUGUAUACAAAAGGACUCCUCUCUGUAAAAACGUCCUUCUGCACUUACAAACCACUUUGAAAAUACAAAUGCAAGCAGAAGAAAAAACAGAAGAAACAAUAAUUCGGAAAUGCGCCUACGGCUAUGUUUUUCCUUGCAGUAGGAAUUUGAGAGCUGGCAAACUUCCAGAAACAGUGACACAAUAUUUGAUGGAGAUCUGAGAUGACUCCCGGGCACAAUCAACAAUGUUAUAAUGACAUAGAUACGUAAAACACGCAAUCAUGAAGAAGAAAAAAAAUCAAUGAAAGAAACAUUUAAAUUUGUAAUUUAUUAUUCAUGACAACACGAAACGAUGAUGAUGAUGAUGACUUGAUCAUCAAUCGCGUGACAAGAUCACAAUGUCAGGGAUAUGUCAGUUCUAUAUUAUACACAUUUGAUACAAUAAGAAGAUGUUCGUCUAGUAGAGAUGAAUUGAAUAUUGAUUGAUAGACAUGUCCUUGAGGAAUGGUACACAUUUCUUCGGGUAUUUCUUAUGCUUUGUUUCUAAUUUCACGCUUCUUCAGGUUUCUGAUUGAUUUUUUACGUUUUUUUUUAAAUGAGGAAGAACAUUUUGUGAUUUAUGGAAAUUGACAAAUGUAUGCAUUCAAAAAGAAAUAAAAUCUUGUCUUGUGUAAAAAAAGGACGCAUUUUUAGAAUAGUAGGUUCAUAUAAAGCAUUGCUUCAGGUCUAGGAUAUUUGCUGGGAAGUGAUCUCCGGCAAACUUGCGAACUAAAAGCAGAGGAAGACUUUUCAGUGGAGACAUCUUUUCAUGUAGGUAUACAUCCAUAAUCACUACCACCACACCAAAGACAAAGGCUAAAAUUGGGCUGCAAAGGAUUUACCGAAGACCUGGAGAGAGCUUAACACCAACAGUACCUACAUUAACUCAAAUGUGUAAACAGUACAGUACUUCAAUGUCAGAACCAAAAGAGGAGCUCCAUGCCAUUAAACCAGAAUGAGACUCAUUCAGGACAAAAAAGCCCCAAAAAUGUCCCGAACAAAAUCUGUCUACCUCCCGAACAUGAUUCGAACAUGUCCCGGACAAGUCCGUGUCGCGUUAUAUGUAGCGUCGUCUCGCGUCGUCGUGUCGCAUUAUGGGGUAGAGUUGCCUAUUUUCGGCCGUCUCCAGUUUCCGGCCACCUUUCGGAAAAUCGUUAUA
Long non-coding RNA from Episyrphus balteatus (marmalade hoverfly), 1668 nucleotides. RefSeq lists it as uncharacterized. NCBI's taxonomy places the organism in Eukaryota, Metazoa, Arthropoda, Insecta, Diptera, Syrphidae. The record is from RefSeq and is a predicted model, not a curated record. The transcript is spliced from 3 exons.